AUGGGCUCCAGGCUCCUCUGCUGCUUGACUCUCUGCCUCCUGGGAGCAGGCCUGGUGGAUUCUGAAGUCACCCAGACCCCAAAAUUCCUGACCAAAUCAAGAAAACAGCAAGUGACACUGAGAUGUUCCCCUGAAUCUGGACACCGCUCUGUGUACUGGUUCCAACAGGCCCUGGGCCAGGGCCCCCAGUUCCUCGUUCAGUAUUUUGAUGGAAAAGUGUAUCAAAGAGGAAACAUGUCAGAUCGAUUCUCAGGUCAACAGUCAGGCUUGGAGUUGAACUUGACCUCCUUGGAGCUGAUGGACUCUGCUCUGUAUCUCUGUGCCAGCAGCCCAGACACAGCCCUGCAUGAUCAGGUGCCUCUGGGACAAAAACAGUCCUGCCCCAGCGCAGGAAGUGGUGGUGAGCGUGUCGGCUGCCAGUGUGCCAAGCCCAGUCUCUGGUAG
Non-coding RNA from Budorcas taxicolor (takin), 444 nucleotides. The record is from the annotation of a RefSeq genome assembly. Lineage: Eukaryota; Metazoa; Chordata; Mammalia; Artiodactyla; Bovidae.